UGCUUCACCACGUCCCCCUGAUUUCUUCCCCUAACCCAGCUAGGGUUCUCACCGCCGCCGCUUCUCUGCUGCCACCCGAUCACAUCUCUCCUCCCCUACGCUCCGGGCCGCACGACGUCGCCGAUUCCGCCUCCUCGUGCGACGCCACACCCGAUCCUCUUCUCCAGAAGCUGCCGCCUCCCUUGCAAUGCCACCACCCGAGGCCCUCCACGGACACCACCAUCACGGACGUAUCUUGGACAGCAGACCCCAUGAUGGUGGAAGGAAGAGCAAGAGGGGGGCGUCGAGGCUGGCCGCCGCCAUGAGGAACCGGCGUCCGUGCGCGCGGUGAUGGCAUGGUGGCGGAAGAAGGUUGUGUUCCCAAGUGCAUCGUGUGCUGGCCGCCGUCUCCAUCCGCGUCCGCGCUCGCAAGACAGAACAGACGGUGAGGACGGUGAAUCACACCAUCUGGAAGGAGGCACUGGGGCAACAUCAAGAAGUUCUGUUAAACUGAUUCAUAGCGGCGUUUCAAAGUUCAAUCAGAAGAAGCGCGGCUUUGUGGUUUCUACAGGAUGGAGAGGCACCCUGCACAUCCCUGAGCUGAACAAGCUAAAUCUAAAGUUGGAUGUGUUCUUGCUUACACAUGUGGACAUAGAUAAGAGGGCAAUUGUAAUCCACGAUGAUAGAAUACCCAUUUGAUGGCAUGGACAUUGGGAUGGUAUUCGGGAUCCCCUGCACAUGCGCUUGCAUUGCUAACAAAAAGAAUGACUGCAUUCAGUCAGCAGCCAAGGAGAUUAGAAGUCGUUUAGGGAUUGUAUAGGAUCAGAAGAAGGAAGAAGUUUGAAAGAAGCUCAAGCAGUACUGGAAAAGAAUUAUAACUCACCAAUGACAGAGAAGGAGCUGCAUGAUUCCAAGACAAUACUUAUUGUUUUCCUUGUGGGACACAUGAUGGCACCGAUGGCAAAAUAUGAUUAUUCAAGCCUAACAUAUUGGCCAGCGCUUAUGGGUCCUGGCAAUAUUUUGAAUUACAAUUGGGGUUAAUAUGUCAUUGAAGGCAUACUAGAAGCGGAUAACAAGCUAAAGUGUGAUGUCACGAGGAAGAAAUCCACGAACAACAUAACUGGGUGUUUACUGUUCCUUCAUGUAUUUUAUCUCGAUAGCCUUAACCUGGGUGAAAUAACGAUGCAGCAUGACAUUCUUUUGAGAAUCAAGGCGUUCAACAACAAGAUUAUGAGGAUCAUGAUCAAUGAUGAUUGCAGCCGAUCUAUAUAUCAGCAAUGAUCAGAAGUUGAUUUCAGAGCAUCCAAGGUAUACUGAGUGCAGAGUAUUAUCAUGAUCAUUAUGAAUUGCCUUUGCUUGUUGUCUACCAACAGUCAAUUAUAAUCCAAUAGCCAAGAGGAGAGAAGAAAGUGAGGAGGAGAAAGGAGGGGUGGGGUGGUGGCUAAAAGAGGUGGCCUGAUAGAGGUAAGGUGAUGUCGCCGAAGGAAAGCAAUGACACACCCUAAGACUGGAGCACAUGGCCUUCUGGUGGUAUCAUUAGUCUCUAUAUGUAUCCAUUUGUUUCUGUGGCAAUACAUGGAUAAUUGACUAGGUAAACUUAGUAACUGAUCAGAAUUAAUGUGUAUUUUUUUAUUAAGGAUACCGGACACUGUUUAAAUAUAAUGAGAUUCCUUGCAACCUCAUAGAAAGAAUUCAGGACUUCCUUUUUGGGAACUCGGGCUUCACUUCAUAUCUUUUACAAGUAGCGAUUUUUACUUUGUUUCUUCAAAUUAUGUUUGAUUACACAUUUUUUUCUGCCUCUGUAUCUUAUCAGGGAACGGCGACCAAUAGAUCAAAAGAUUUUUUGUUUGAUAGGAAGCAUAAAACACAAAGAAACAUGAAGCCCUUGCUGGACUUGACAUAGGCAUCAGCGAGCAUGGAGCAUGGUCUUGAGGUGCGAGUUGGACGGGUGGAUGUACUUGACAAGGAGCAAUUAGACGUGAGCAUGCAUGGCGGGCAAUGCCGCCGACGGUCAGGCGGAUAAGAAGACCAAAGAGGAAGGCCGCAUCAGGCAUGCAUCUUCGAUGAUGCAUGCCUGUGCAUAUUUGUGGGGGAAUGGUGCUACCUUGAGGCAAAGUGUCUUUUUGGGAAGGUUGCCGGUAGAGAGAAGUUCUAUAGUUUGGCUUGCGGAGUAACAUAGACAGGCAUGCUGGUGCUAUAAGGCUAUAUCCAUGGUUUAAUUUCGCCUCACCAUUCCUGCUUGUUGGAACAUGUUUGAUGUACUUGCACAUUAAAAAGAGUGUAUGAAACCCUUUACAAAGCCAUUUGUAUCCAGUAUCCUAUAGUAAUAGA
This is a long non-coding RNA of Triticum aestivum (bread wheat), 2310 nucleotides long. RefSeq lists it as uncharacterized. Lineage: Eukaryota; Viridiplantae; Streptophyta; Magnoliopsida; Poales; Poaceae. The record is from RefSeq and is a predicted model, not a curated record. The transcript has 3 exons.